This 545-nucleotide ribosomal RNA is filed under the name uncultured bacterium. Its description in RNAcentral is "bacterial SSU rRNA". It matches the Rfam family "Bacterial small subunit ribosomal RNA", at positions 777 to 1322 of the family's 1533-position model. The record is from RNAcentral.
AAUAGAUACCCGGGUAGUCCACCCCGUAAACGUUGGGAACUAGUUGUGGGGUCCUUUCCACGGAUUCCGUGACGCAGCUAACGCAUUAAGUUCCCCGCCUGGGGAGUACGGCCGCAAGGCUAAAACUCAAAGGAAUUGACGGGGACCCGCACAAGCGGCGGAGCAUGCGGAUUAAUUCGAUGCAACGCGAAGAACCUUACCAAGGCUUGACAUACACCAGAACACCCUAGAAAUAGGGGACUCUUUGGACACUGGUGAACAGGUGGUGCAUGGUUGUCGUCAGCUCGUGUCGUGAGAUGUUGGGUUAAGUCCCGCAACGAGCGCAACCCUCGUUCUAUGUUGCCAGCACGUAAUGGUGGGAACUCAUGGGAUACUGCCGGGGUCAACUCGGAGGAAGGUGGGGAUGACGUCAAAUCAUCAUGCCCCUUAUGUCUUGGGCUUCACGCAUGCUACAAUGGCCGGUACAAAGGGCUGCAAUACCGUGAGGUGGAGCGAAUCCCAAAAGCCGGUCCAGUUCGGAUUGAGGUCUGCAACUCGACCUCAUG